UAGGCAAGUAUCAUUAGAUGUCAUUGUCUUGUAAGUGACUUGACCGUGUAAAUUGUAAGGUUUUUUUUAAGAUGUCUGUUUGUAAAGUCGAAUACAUUCUUUUAUUAUCUCUUGUGAUUCUUUCUUCUUUUCACAUCUAUAAAGCAGGAGGCAGCAGCAUUAGCGGCAGCCGAAGUUGCUUUCCUUCUGCAAGCAGGGCAACAUAGGGGCUUGCAUGUUGCAGUUGCACCUGGACCUGCGCCACCAGUAGAGCCUUCGACAACACCAGGACGGGCAACAACUCCUCAGGCGGCAAUACAACCAGGACAGGUGGCAACUCCUCAUCUAGAACCAGUAUAAACAGCUUUUCUCUGUUUCCUCUCCUAGCAUUUUGAAAAAAGUUGAUUGUACUGAUGGUAACUUUCAUGGCGGGGAAAGUUUUUUUUUUUUUUUUUUUCCAUUUCAUUUUUAAUUAUUUGCCAGCUGUAUCUUUGCAUUGAGAGACGCAGAAGCUCCAAAUUUCCUCUCAUUCAGUAUUCCGUUAUGUUCGUACAUGUCAAAACAUAGCAGCCCCUAGAUGGCAUUGGAGUCUUCGCCUCCUGGGGUCAGUUACAACUUUAUCAGAUCUUUUCUUCAAGUGUGUUGAUACCAUAUCUUCACAUCAUAUUAAUCGGCUAA
RNAcentral lists this long non-coding RNA (657 nucleotides) under Nicotiana tabacum (common tobacco). RNAcentral's name for it is "long non-coding RNA (NTAB_LNC000529)". Lineage: Eukaryota; Viridiplantae; Streptophyta; Magnoliopsida; Solanales; Solanaceae. The record is from RNAcentral.